CCACUACUACUGAGACAACACUCCCUGUCAUUGACCUCUCUCUUUUACACCAACCUUCCCUUAGAUCCCGUGCAAUCCAUGAUAUCAAAAUUGCCUGCAAGGAUUUUGGUUUCUUUCAGGUAUAUAUCCAACUAGUUUAAUGUUUCUGCAUUUAAUUCAUCCAAAUCAUGUCUCACUUUCAUCAAAUUUCGGUCUAAAUAUGUUCCCAUGUUUUGUCACUAGCCCUAGAGCCAACUUAUCGCAUGCAGCUAACCAAUCACACUUACGAUAUCACUUAGAAAGACGGCUACUGUCUUUUUGCAUUUAUGUCAUGUGGAACAAACUCCUUGAUCAGGGAAAAGAAGAAUAGAAAAGACAAAAUCCUCAAUCUCAGACUUAAAUGACAACACAUAUAUAGUGCAUGCAUGCAUGUUUUCUCUACUUAAAAGCCAUCUUAUUCUUUACAGAACUAAGAGAUAAAGCCCUAGCUUUUUACUUCCCUACAGGUUAUAAACCAUGGAAUACCAUCAUCAGUGGUUAAAGAUGCCCUAGACGCAGCAACAUUGUUCUUUGACUUACCUGUUGAGGAGAAGAUGCGUCUUGUGUCUGCAAAUGUUCAUGAGCCAGUAAGGUAUGGUACAAGCCUUAACCAUUCAACAGACAGAGUUCACUACUGGAGAGAUUUCAUCAAGCAUUACUCUCAUCCCCUCCCAAAGUGGAUCGAUAUGUGGCCAUCAAAUCCUCCAUGCUACAAGUAAGUUAAACAUAAUAAGCCUAGCUUCACUAUCUCAAUAUAUACGAAACCUAGCUCUUUCUCUCUCUCUCUCUCUCUAAAGACUUGUAAGAAUCUUUGAGUUAAAAACUGAUAAUAUAUUUCAGAGAAAAAGUGGGCAAGUAUGCAGAGGCAACACAUGUACUACAUAAGCAAUUGAUAGAAGCUAUCGCAGAAAGCCUUGGACUGGAGAAAAAUUACUUACAAGAAGAGAUUGAAGAAGGGUCACAAGUCAUGGCAGUGAACUGCUAUCCAGCAUGUCCAGAACCUGAAAUUGCCUUGGGAAUGCCACCACACUC
This 1050-nucleotide long non-coding RNA is filed under the name Capsella grandiflora. RNAcentral describes it as "long non-coding RNA (CGRA_LNC000790)". Lineage: Eukaryota; Viridiplantae; Streptophyta; Magnoliopsida; Brassicales; Brassicaceae. The record is from RNAcentral.